UCCUCUUCUUCUCCAUUCUUCUAGUUUCUUCAUCAUCAAGCACUUCCUUUACCAAAGCUUUAAGGCUAGGACCAAGUUCUUCAAAUUUUCUAAAGUUGUUGAGGGGAAAUUCAAGCUUUAAAGAGGAAUUAGGGGCUGCCAACUUCUUCUUCAUAAUCUAAAAUUCAAAUCAUAAAGAAAGGGUUUCCAAAAGGCUUGAAAGGGGAUCGCACUUGAGGUUGUCUUAUCUCUAUCAAUGGACUCUAGGGCUUUGGCUCACGGGUGCUCUAUGGUGCAUGUAAGGGAAAUGGAAAGGUAGAUUAGCCAUAAAUUGGAGAGCUUGGCAGUGAAGCGUGCAUGUUCGGUCAGCUUAACCUACUGGGUUGAGUUAUUUGAUGGACUUGAGUCAAAAGUCCGAUUUUGUCACUUAAGCCGACCCCUUUUGAGAACAAAGAUUGUAAUUAUGUUUUGUUUAAAAUAAAUGGGAUCUCAUGUAAAUUUUCAUGAAAUGGUUUAUUAAUUUCUUGUUUAAUUUUAAAUCACAUUUUUGGGUUCAAACUAUCUUGUUUAUCAAGUUAAGGUGACAGCCAAAUUAAGACACAAUACGAGAAGGCAUCAG
This is a long non-coding RNA of Humulus lupulus (European hop), 598 nucleotides long. RefSeq lists it as uncharacterized. The record is from RefSeq and is a predicted model, not a curated record. The transcript has 3 exons. Lineage: Eukaryota; Viridiplantae; Streptophyta; Magnoliopsida; Rosales; Cannabaceae.